This 496-nucleotide ribosomal RNA is filed under the name uncultured bacterium. RNAcentral's name for it is "partial 16S ribosomal RNA". It matches the Rfam family "Bacterial small subunit ribosomal RNA", at positions 29 to 507 of the family's 1533-position model. The record is from RNAcentral.
AUGAACGCUGGCGGCGUGCCUCAUACAUGCAAGUCGAGCGAACAGACGAGGAGCUUGCUCCUCUGACGUUAGCGGCGGACGGGUGAGUAACACGUGGAUAACCUACCUAUAAGGCUGGGAUAACUUCGGGAAACCGGAGCUAAUACCGGAUAAUAUAUUGAACCGCAUGGUUCAAUAGUGAAAGACGGUUUUGCUGUCACUUAUAGAUGGAUCCGCGCCGCAUUAGCUAGUUGGUAAGGUAACGGCUUACCAAGGCAACGAUGCGUAGCCGACCUGAGAGGGUGAUCGGCCACACUGGAACUGAGACACGGUCCAGACUCCUACGGGAGGCAGCAGUAGGGAAUCUUCCGCAAUGGGCGAAAGCUUGACGGAGCAACGCCGCGUGAGUGAUGAAGGUCUUCGGAUCGUAAAACUCUGUUAUUAGGGAAGAACAAAUGUGUAAGUAACUAUGCACGUCUUGACGGUACCUAAUCAGAAAGCCACGGCUAACUACGUG